RNAcentral lists this ribosomal RNA (200 nucleotides) under Clostridium botulinum. RNAcentral's name for it is "partial 16S ribosomal RNA". It matches the Rfam family "Bacterial small subunit ribosomal RNA", at positions 275 to 492 of the family's 1533-position model. The record is from RNAcentral. Lineage: Bacteria; Bacillati; Bacillota; Clostridia; Eubacteriales; Clostridiaceae.
GACGAUGCGUAGCCGACCUGAGAGGGUGAUCGGCCACAUUGGAACUGAGACACGGUCCAGACUCCUACGGGAGGCAGCAGUGGGGAAUAUUGCGCAAUGGGGGGAACCCUGACGCAGCAACGCCGCGUGAGUGAUGAAGGUUUUCGGAUCGUAAAACUCUGUCUUUAGGGACGAUAAUGACGGUACCUAAGGAGGAAGCC